UUUGGAAUUUGAUAAGAAUUAUAUUAUUAGAAUAUAUGAAAAAGAUUGGAAAUAUUCAGUUAAAUAUUAGAAAAAAAUAUAUUAAAUAUUUUAUUUUAGUUAAAGUUUAAUUUUCAAGUCUUGAAAUGUGCAGUAAUAUAAACUUAUCGAGUUAACCUAACUUUCCAAAAAAUAAAUCAUGCAUCGCUUGAGAGUUCAGUUUAUAAAUUCAUUAUCAGUGUAAACAAAUGUACAUGGUCUCCGAAUAAAGAUGCAGUAUAUAAUCAAUAAAAUUGGGCGAUUGAUUUUUUAUGAAGAAAAAAUAAAUAAAAAACUUGAAAUGUUUUUAAAUAGGAUUAUCGGCAUUUUAUAAAAAUCAUAUUGAAAAUCAAAAAUGAAAUAUCAAAUAUCGAAUGGAAUAUUCAUUAAAAGAAAAUACGCUUUCACUCACGAGACGAUUUUAAUGAUAUCAUAAAUUUCUAGGGAAUUUCACUUUUCAUUGCCACUGUGAUCGCGUUAAUCGAGAUUUAUUAGACGCCUUUUAUAGUUAAAUCUUCUCCACCGUAGCCUUUGAAAAAAAUCAAAGUGAUUAACGUGUAUAGCAUCGUUCAUUAAAUAUCGAGUUAACCACGAUGCGCUUGUCGAUCGAUUUAACAAGGCAUAAAUAAGAUUAAUCCGCUGAUUUGACGGAUGCGUUGUUAAUUCGUUUAAUUACCGUUUAUAUCACGGUAUAAUAUGUCCUUUUGACGUUCGAAUAUUUAGGUUGAGAGAUUACGACCAAUAUUUUUAUGGCUGGUCAAUAAACUAAGAACUGCAAGAAGAACCAUUAAUAGACAUAUAAACAUAUAAACAUAUAAUGAUCGUAAAUUGGUUCUGAUACUUCGUUCAUGAUAUUAUACAUAGUUUCAUUUGCAAUUUCGUGCCUCGUCUUUGUCUUAAUUCGAACAGAUCGAGAAAAUGUUUUUUUCCAAGAUGAAUGAAUUCGUCAUUGGAGAAAUAGGGCCACCGAUUGCUGUCGGAUAUCUAACCAGAGUGUUGCAGAAGCUGAGAUUUCAAAUUGGAGAUUGGAGACAAGUUAAAUGACAUGAAAUAUUUUCUUAAGUUACAUAUUCCACUAUAUAUCUAUGGAUUAUGUUCUCCAAGGAGAGAUAUCGAAGAGUUAUCAUUAUAUUGUUAUUUCUACAAAUUCCAAUGCUUAUUUAUUUUAAUAAUUAAUAUAUUACAUGUUAUGCAAAAUGAUCGUUUCAAUUUUAAAAUCGACACGUUAUUUGGAAUAUUAAUUAAUGGGGACAGCUGUUAUCAAGGAUAGGAUUGUGCAGAACAUUUGGAAAUAGUUGAUCGAAUUUUGAUAUUAUAUAUUCUAUUCUUCUUAAAAAUGAAAGAUAAACUUGGAUUAAGCAAAUUUGGAAACUUUUAUUUUCUGAGAUAUAAUGAAUAUUGAAUAAUAGAUGGAAAGAUUUAAUACCAGAAGAAAAAUUAUUAUGUUGUGAAAAUGAAGAAGAUGAGAAUUAAUGCAUGAGGUAAAACUUUUUAAAGAAUUAUAUGUAAUUAAUUACAUGUAAAUAUUAAUUAUUUUUUUUUUUUAGUACAAUAAAUAUUUUGUUAA
This is a long non-coding RNA of Apis laboriosa (Himalayan honeybee), 1585 nucleotides long. RefSeq lists it as uncharacterized. NCBI's taxonomy places the organism in Eukaryota, Metazoa, Arthropoda, Insecta, Hymenoptera, Apidae. The record is from RefSeq and is a predicted model, not a curated record. The transcript has 5 exons.